AGAGCUUUCACCUCCACACGUACAGGAAGUACUCCGUGGCUUCUCUUUGGCACAUCCGGGAUGCAGCGUUACCACCCCCGCACUUUUGUGCCAUCGUUCGGUGACCAACGGUUACUUGAGCAGAAGCACUGUGUUGCCACCAACAGUCAACCUUACUACGGAGAUGGUUAUCAAUAGGCAGUCGGUGACUGGACCAAGACAUAAUUCACAGCCCAGGCGGCAUACAACUCAAAUAUUAUGAGGAGCUCACUCGGAACUUCACCAUCACUGGGAAUGGCUGCUGUUCUCCCUCAGGGGAGCACUGACCUUCACCAUGAGCAUCACUUCCUGGCUCCAAUGUGGAUCACUCAGACUGGUGGCACAAAUCCUUCACCCCACUGGCGCAGUUUUUCUGGCUUCCACCCCUGGCUUUGGACCUUCUGGGUGCAGAUCCUUGAUAUUAACAAACAUGAAUUGACGCCAAGGGCUCUAGGCCUCCAGCUGGACUCAUGCAGGACAUUGCAUUGGACUCGAGGCCUUCAGCUGCACUCAUGCGGGACAUUGCUUUAAGACCCAGGCCCUUCGCUAGAUGCUUUGGGUUUCUGGUGUGCAACUAAUCUCUUGUGCUCCUCUGCAUUUGACUUUUUGGGUGAAUAUUAUAAAAUAAUCCUAUAAAUUCUGUGUCCUGUAUUAAAUCUAUUCUUUUGCAAACCUUGACUACAACAACCAUCCACCAACUCAAAGUUGGCUCUACACUUUGCUUCCCUUUAGAACAAGGCAGAGAAGCAGAGGACUAACCAACUCACUUGAUCCUGGGUGAGGACAAUGCACAGAGUAAGGCCAGAGCAACCAGACCCCAUGACAGUUGACACUAAGACCAAUAGUCCACCUGAAGUUCCACUCUGCUGCCUACAUCCAGCAGAAACCAGAUGGCUGAUUGUGUUUUCCAACUCCCAACAGCAGCAACAAGAACAUGUCUUGGCCUCAAAUUUAACCAGAGUAAAUGGACAGGGAUCCUCUAAGAUAGAGAACUACAGAGGACACCAGAUGUGCUGUCACAAUUAUUGUUCAAUCCCCUCACUUUGUUUAGAGCAUGGUUUAUUAUUUCUGCUGCCAGAGAAUUUUCAGGGUGGAGGAGCUGUAAUUCAAGGAAGAUUCAAGCAGCAGAACACACUGGGGUUCUGCCCCCCCCAGGCUUCUGCUCUAGGAAUCAGGACUGCAUCUACUCUGAGGGAGAAAUGAAGUAAGAACUGAUGACUAGUUCUCCCUCUUUGUCUGUAAGUUCUACAUCUUUGGAUUCAACCAACCAUGAGUUGAAAAUGUCUA
Molecule: long non-coding RNA, 1305 nt
Filed under: Fukomys damarensis (Damara mole-rat)
Lineage: Eukaryota; Metazoa; Chordata; Mammalia; Rodentia; Bathyergidae
Description: lncRNA (ENSFDAG00000032685.1)
Source: RNAcentral